AUUGAACGCUGGCGGAAUGCUUUACACAUGCAAGUCGAACGGCAGCACGGACUUCGGUCUGGUGGCGAGUGGCGAACGGGUGAGUAAUGUAUCGGAACGUGCCCAGUCGUGGGGGAUAACGUAGUGAAAAUUACGCUAAUACCGCAUACGAUCUAUGGAUGAAAGCGGGGGAUCGCAAGACCUCGCGCGAUUGGAGCGGCCGAUAGCAGAUUAGGUAGUUGGUGGAGUAAAGGACCACCAAGCCAACGAUCUGUAGCUGGUCUGAGAGGACGACCAGCCACACUGUGACUGUGACACGGUCCAGACUCCUACGAGAGGCAGCAGUGGGGAAUUUUGGACAAUGGGCGAAAGCCUGAUUCAGCCAUUCCGCGUGCAGGAUGAAGGCCCUCGGGUUGUAAACUGCUUUUGUACAGAACGAAAAGGUUUCUACUAAUACUAGGAGCUCAUGACGGUACUGUAAGAAUAAGCACCGGCUAACUACGUGCCAGCCGCCGCGGUAA
Molecule: ribosomal RNA, 500 nt
Filed under: uncultured bacterium
Lineage: Bacteria
Description: partial 16S ribosomal RNA
Rfam family: Bacterial small subunit ribosomal RNA
Source: RNAcentral